GGCGACUACCCGUUCCAGGGUUAUUAGGACUGUAAUCACCAGAGGACUUGAAAAUGAGCCGGAGUUGAGAGGAUCACCAAAACUAAAGAGCAUACAACCAUGCCGACAACCAUCUGUGAAGUGGACAAAGGGCUGGACAUUGGGCCGCACUGAAAAAAACGCAUGGUUCCCAAGAAAGUGGCCACUGUAAUCGAUGAGGGCUCAGGGCGAUACCAUUCUGCUCACCUGAUGAAAGUGCACAUAGAUCAGAUUCAAACUUUGAAGACCGAGAUGGAGUCAAUGAAGGCAGACCAGCAGAAAGAGAAACAUUCUCUGAGGGCAGAGAUACGGGCGACAGCUGAUGCAUUGGUCCAGAGCCAGGCGGUAUUGACGGAGAGUCAGGCACACCUGUGAGCUCUGGAACUCCACCUCCGACAGGCAGAGUCAACAUAUGUGGCGGGUUCGUCAGGUCGUCGGUUCACCCUGCCAUUUCCAUUCCUCUUUUGACAACAGAAUUUGACAAACUUCUCACCAGGCACAGCAAGGGCCGUCCGGACCGUUAUGCUGUUCUGCUAUUCUAAGGAUGUGCAACCGAAGAGAGAUACCACGAGUGGACACAGAAUACCAACUGGGAUGGAUCCAGCGGCAAAUGUGGCUUACCAGUGAUCCUCCGGGUGUUCAUCAAUAUAUAAUUAUUUUAUAUAUAUAUAUAUAUAUAUAUAUAU
Molecule: long non-coding RNA, 704 nt
Organism: Oncorhynchus kisutch (coho salmon)
Lineage: Eukaryota; Metazoa; Chordata; Actinopteri; Salmoniformes; Salmonidae
Exons: 3
Source: RefSeq, a predicted model, not a curated record